CCAGACUCCUACGGGAGGCAGCAGUGGGGAAUAUUGCACAAUGGGGGAAACCCUGAUGCAGCGACGCCGCGUGAGUGAAGAAGUAUCUCGGUACGUAAAGCUCUAUCAGCAGGGAAGAUAAUGACGGUACCUGACCAAGAAGCCCCGGCUAACUACGUGCCAGCAGCCGCGGUAAUACGUAGGGGGCAAGCGUUAUCCGGAUUUACUGGGUGUAAAGGGGGCGCAGACGGCAAUGCAAGCCAGGAGUGAAAGCCCGCGGCCCAACUGCGGGACUGCUUUGGAAACUGCCCGGCUAGAGUGCUGGAGAGGUAAGCGGAAUUCCUAGUGUAGCGGUGAAAUGCGUAGAUAUUAGGAGGAACACCAGUGGCGAAGGCGGCUUACUGGACAGUAACUGACGUUGAGGCUCGAAAGCGUGGGGAGCGAACAGGAUUAGAUACCCUAGUA
This 444-nucleotide ribosomal RNA is filed under the name uncultured bacterium. RNAcentral's name for it is "bacterial SSU rRNA". It matches the Rfam family "Bacterial small subunit ribosomal RNA", at positions 331 to 792 of the family's 1533-position model. The record is from RNAcentral.